Molecule: long non-coding RNA, 2141 nt
Organism: Zalophus californianus (California sea lion)
Lineage: Eukaryota; Metazoa; Chordata; Mammalia; Carnivora; Otariidae
Exons: 3
Source: RefSeq, a predicted model, not a curated record
CGCACUCUGGCGGAUGCCAGCCUCCACAUAAGGACCCUGACUACCCUGAGCCACGCUUGCUGGAGAGGCCACAGUGGGCCCAGCUGAGCCCCCAGCCGACAGCCAGCAUCAAGUACCAGGCAUCUGAGGAGGAGAUUGAAGUUGGGGUAAUGGAGCCUUGUCUGGGCCAUGGACCAUGGGAGUGAAGAAAGCCAGGUUGCCCAGAGAAGCAGGAAAGUGAAAAAGAAGUCUGUGGAAAUGAACAGAGCAAAUCAAACCGUGGGAAUAGGGAGCAGGCAACCUCGAUCGAUGCCUGAUACUUCAGUUACCAGUUCCAUUCCUUCAUGAGGUCACCUGAAACCUAUAUGCAAGAAGUCAUCUCAGGCAGGCCCAAGGGCAACCUCUGGCCAACAGCCCACUAGGAAUGAACACCCUCAAACCAAAAGCCCAGAGGAACCGAAUGUUGCCAACAACCAUGUGAGCUUGAAGGCAGAUUCUUCUCUUGUUGAUCCUGCAGAUGAGACAACAGCCCAGGCCAACACCUAGACUGCAUCCUCCCAAGAGACCCUAAAGCAAAAAACCCAGCAGACCGUUGCCCAGACUCCUGACUCACAGAAACUGUGAGCUAAUAAACAUGUGUGUAUGUGUGUGUGUGUGUGUUUAAGCCCUUAUGUACAUACAUGGUAAUUUGAUACUCAGCAAUACAUGACUAAGACAUUCUUUCCGUCCCACUGCUUCCCCAGGUCCUGCUCAUCUGGAUCGCUCAUUUAUGUACCCUUUAGACUUGACGCUUUUAUAUCUGACCCACAAGGAACGCUUCCCUGUCUCGUUCUGGCUGCAUCCAGCUGAGGCUGAUAGUGGCUUGAGGUUCCCCGUGGUGAACAGAGCUCCAUACUUGGGGGAUCUUCACUCCCAGCCUGACAAAUAGGACAAUGACAAAAGAUCAAGGCUGGGAGGUGGUGGGGUCCAGGCCACUGGGCAUCUGAAGACUGGCAAGCUGCCUGCAGGAGGUAGGGCUGGGUCAGGGCUGAGACCCUGCACCUUGACCCUCCCUCCUGGCCGAGUCCCUAGCUUGCAGAGUCCCUGUAAGACACCGCCAGACCCUCUAUUCUCUAAACUUUCUCCUUGCUCUCCCUGCUUCUGAGCUUCUUGCCCAUCUCCUAGUUUCCCAUCCUGAUAGUUUUGUGCCUCGUUCUCUCUUCUCAACCUAGUUCCUUCCAUUUGACAAAUCAUCUGGAUACGCUGCUCAAUUUGCAAAUCAAAAUAAAUGAAUUUUAUUACAAAAAUAAUUUUUGCACAUUUUAGGAAAUCGUGGGAAGAAAAUAAGCACAAAGGCAAAAUUGAAAAUCAUCUUCGUCAUGCUACCCAGAGACAGACUGUCUAAUUUUUGUCUUCAUUUUUGAGAUUCAUUUUAACCUGAUGUGUUUUCUCCCUUUUCCCUCCUUGACCGUGUUUCAUAUAAGUGCUUUUUUAAUGGUCUCAUACUGUAAGUAGUUUCAUGGCCUGUAAUCUGUUUUUUUCCACUUAGCUUCCUAUCAUGAACAUUUUCCCACAGCAAUAAAUAUACUUCUAUGUCACUCUUUUAAAUUACUGAAUAACAUUUCUUAUGAUUUAAUGUUUUUGCUCUUGUGUUAAAAUUCAAAGAAAUAUUCUUUGCAGUUCAGUUGUUGGACACACACUUAAUGGCCUCUCUAGACGUGGAACCACUGGUCAAAAAGAUGCAUGUUUUGGAAGCUUGUAAUAAAUAUUGACAAAUCUCCCCAAACAAUAUUGGCCCACUCUUCACUCUCCAGAAGCAUAUGACAUUAUUCCCCAUUCUCUCGAACUAGCUAUUCUCUUUGUGAUUCUUUUUGUUGUUUGUCAUCACAAUCCCAUGAGUGCAUAGCUCCCACUCCCCAUCACCGGGCACGCACUCUCACGUGUCAGAUGUGUAAACAUAGACAAUCCACCCCCGAAACCUUUGUUUAUAUGUAUGCAUGUGUAUCCCCAAACAAUAUAUAAUACUGCUUUGGGAGGGCAUUUAUAAAACCUCAUGUAAAUGCUAUUGUGCUAUGUAUUACAUUCUAUUGUCCCUUUUUGUUCAAUCAAUGCGGGUGUUUUGGUUUUUUGUUUUUGUUUUUUACUGAGAUCUGUGCUAACUUAUGUAACUCAAAUUCAUUUGU